Nelumbo nucifera (sacred lotus) is the source of this 4702-nucleotide long non-coding RNA. RefSeq lists it as uncharacterized. The record is from RefSeq and is a predicted model, not a curated record. Lineage: Eukaryota; Viridiplantae; Streptophyta; Magnoliopsida; Proteales; Nelumbonaceae.
CACCUAAUAGGCUAAGCUUGGAUGAGGAUUGGUCUGGAGUCUGGACCAAUCGAAAAACAGAAAGCAUAGGUAUAAUAUCAGGCUGGCUCAAGGGAUUUGCCCUCACAACGAUUUCACUGGCACAUCCCACCGUUUUUAAAGGAAAUGUUAUCAGGUUGGUGUGAGUCGCCAUAAGUGAGGAGCAAAUCAGGUCUUUGUUGCAGAUUCUAUAUAGUAUACAAUUCAAAUUCGGAUCUCCUAUCUACACACUCUGCCUAUAUUUAUCGCAGCCACAUCUGUAUAAUAUUAUACAGAGUCAGAUAUUCUCAAAUCACGGGGGAAGUAUGUUAUGAGUAUACGUGAUCAGAGUUCUCGUGGGCAGGAAAUCGGAUUCAUAAAAUUCAUGAUAUUAACUGGGGGUCGCAAAACCGGAGUUAGGAUAUCCUGUCAGCGAAACACGUUCCAACUUCCAAGUUGCAACACACUAUCAAUUUUGAUCUGACAUGCGUGAAAUUUGCGGUGUUAGACAAUGUUGGUACCGUGUUGGAGCGUAUUUUGUUAGCAGAUGAUCCACACUCGCAAAACCGGCAUUUUUUUUUUUCGAAGAGUAAAAGGAAAACCGUCGCAUUUCAGAUGAUCGUUUUGUUUUCCCCGCUUCCCGAACCGAAUCGUCUCCUCUGGCAGCUUUGCCAGUCGCCGCUCCACCAAACAACGCGAGCAAUCGCACGAACGUCGGCGACAAAUCCAGAACUUCUGAUUUACACUACGACAUACUCUUAAGAAGGAGGAUCAACCAUGCACUCUCCCGUGCUUGUUCUGGGUCCUGAGUAAGUUCAAGUAGUUGCUUCUCAUCAGUCUAUUCGAAAUUACUAAUUAGUGAUCGGGCUGGAUUUGUGAAGAAAUUCUCUGCUAGUGAAUUCCUGGGAGUAUUUCUUAAUUCUGGAACAAUGAAGGUAAAGUUUUGGUUGUUAAUUCAGGACUUACUGGCAAGGGAAUUUACAUAGAGAUAGUAUACUUGCUACAAGGGCUGAGAUUGGCUGUUUCAUUGGGAUAUGGUAGAUUGAAAGGGAAUCUCAACUUAUAAUUAGGUGGAUGAAGGGUUAUGAUUGAAUCCAUUGGUUGAUACUUCACUUUAUUAGGAGGGUGGUGGCCCUUGGCAUCUAGCAGGAGCACCUAACUUAGAUAGGUCUGAACAUUUGCUAACUCCCUAGCACACUCACUAGCUAUGGGAGCUAAUAGGGAUGAAUUACAUCGGGGACCAGCUGGGAGGUGGGGGGUAUAGGCUAGAGGGGACUGCCAUUUUAUCCAUGGCUCAUGCUGAUUGUUGGGUGUAGCAGGUUGGUUUUAGCCCAGUUAAACUUGCAUCUCUUGUAUCUCUUCUCCUUGCUUAUUUAUUAAUCAAAUUUCUUUGAUCUGGUAAGGGAAAAUUUUCUCUGUCCUUAAAAGAAGGUUAUCUUUCUUGUUCCUUUUUUGGUUAAGUUCAUUUAUUGUUACAGCAGCAACAUCAAGUUUUCUUGUCAACCAUGUUCUUUGCAUGUUUUGUUGCAUCAGAUGUUUCUGUUUUAUUCUUGUAUGUGGCAGAACUUCCUAGAGUCUAUUGGAGAUUGUAGUAUAUCUGUUGCAACUGAGAUUUUUCCUUUUAGUAAUUUAUUUAUUGAACUUGAAAUCUGAGUUUUUUUUUUCAGAAUGAACACAGUUUAUUUUGGUUCAAUUUUCAUAAUCUUUUAUCCAAAUAUUAGGCUGAUUUUCUGAAUGGGCAGAGGACUCUUUUGAAGUGUGAUCCAGGAAGUAAAUUGCACCAUGCAAAUAUUCAAGCAUCAAAGGUGAAGUUUUGUUCUCAUAUUGGUGCAUACAGAUCAAUUCAAUUUCCCUAAGCUUUAUAUUCAUUUAUAUAUUCAUUUUGUUUUGCUUCCUGAUAUCAUUGAAUUUUGAGUAUUCUCAGACUUUUCAGUGACAUCAUUCUCUACAUAGGAAAAUAGGAGCACCAUAGCAUCCUUACCUAAGUGGGACCAGAUGUAGGAAUCCUGUACCUUUAUUCUGCUCUAAGUCCUUGAACAGUUUGUUAUUGUACUGCAAACAUUUUCAAGUUCAUGCAUAUCUAUUUUGUUGUCAUUGUUCUGUUGUUUGAAGUUGGUAUUAAUGGUGUAGACAUUAUUUCUGCUUGGCAAUAUUGCACAUCUUUUUUGGCUAAAUAAUGAAUUUGUGUAGAUGAGUAUUCCAAAUAUAUCAUUUUAUUUGUCUAAUUAACAGAUGAAACCUUGUUAGAUGGGCAUGCUGUUCUUUUAUUUAUUUAUUUAUUGAUCAGCAAUGGGUAUGCUGUUUUUCUAAUAUACUUUUGCAAGAGUAUAAACUGUUAAAAUCUAAUGGAAAUUUAUCUUACUAAGUUGUUUAAUAAAGUAACCAAAACAAAGGAAAAGAGCACCAUGCUGCCUGUAUAUAAGAGUAGAGGUGAUGUACAGAGUUGCAGGAUUAUUGUUGCGUCAAUAAUCAGGGUCACCCACUCUAUUCCAGUGUUGUCAAAGUGAUACAUUCUGGUCUCCCUAGGCAAUGUGGUAGCUGUUCAGUGCUAGAUGUUGACUAGUUGACCAUGAAAAGUACAUGCUCUAAACUUGAGAUAUUGAUUCAAUAUCACAUAUAAGUGUUGAUACAAACUACAAAUCAGUAAUAGAAUAAUGAUCAAAACAUUUAGUUUACAGUCUUUUGCAAGCAUAAAAGGGAAGGUUGGAUAAGUUAAGAUAGGGAUUGACAAUCUUUGUUCUUCAAAGAAAGACCAGCACGCCACUGGUCUCUUUGUGGCAAUUAGUGUGCAUAUAACUUCUUUGUUUGGAGGAGGCUAGCAAAGUCUAAGCCUUCCAUUGGGGUACCUGGCACAAUCUGUUGCAUAUAUCAUACUAUCUUUUAUAAUUAGUAAAGAUUUACCAUUAUGAAUAAAAAAGUCCAUAUAACAAAAUAAAAGCAUAUGAUAUUGUUUUUAACAAAUUAUAGAUAAUGACACAUAAAUAAAACUUUAAAAUAGCUUUGUGGUUGAUAGGACAACUAGGCUAACUUUUUUUUUUCUUUUUGUUGAGAAAGGUAACUAUUUCAUUAAGGAAAAAAAAGGAAGAGAGUACAUCAGAGGAUGUACAAAAGGAGGGGCUUAAGAACAAAAACAAAAAGACCAAUCAAAUCUGUGGGAAACUAUUUGAACUAUAUAAAACACUCCUCUCUGUGCCUGAUUUAGCUACCAGAUUAGCUUUUUGAUUGAAUUUUCUAGGGAACCAUCUGAAGAUGCAGCCAAGAGAAGAUGUAAGUUCUCUAAUUUCAAGAAGAUAAUGCACCAUUGUGGAAUUCUAACAUAUAUAACUGCAAAAUAUGUUGUCUGUCCAAUACAGACACAUUACUGUUUAGGAGGAUCAAUGAACACUGCUAGUCAGUUGAUCAGUUGAUGACUAGUAGAUGCUUUAAUAGCACUAUAUUCUCAUCAAGCCAAGGAAAGUGCCAUAGCUUGUUUUGUUUAUAGACAGUUAAGCAAAAUGUGAUGACUACUCACAAGUAUGGGUCUUUCUUUUUGAACAGUCAUACAAGGCUCAUUGGUUCUUCUGAAUGGUCUGAUUGUAUAGGGAAUUGGGACAAAAUGGUAUGUUCUUUACCUUAGCCCUAUAGUAUGGAUAGGUGAUCUUUAUGUUUGUUACCAGGCAUUGUGGUCACAAAUGAUGGAAAUGAUGUAUUGUGUGAACUGGACCUUGCUCACAUAGCUGCAAAGGUAUCCAUGUCUUUUUCCUUUACAAUGUAUGCCUAUCUGAAAUGGCAGUCCAUGAUAGAACUAAUCCGCACACAAGAUGAAGUAGGGGAUGAGACUGUAUCUGUAAUCAUUGUUGGUAUGUUGUUACAUAUACUUUUCACCUCUGCCGUUUUUGGAUAUAUUCUUUGCAAUUGAAAAUCAAAUAUUGUCAUUAGAACACAAUUUUGCUGGAAUUGAGUUCACAAAACAACUCAACCUGUUCUGGGUCAACAUUAGCACAUUGAGUUGAGCAGAACGCUCCCAUACACUUCUGCCAAAUAACUCAGCCUUCUUAGUUUCCCUUUCUUUUAUGUGUUCAAUGGAAAUGGAUAGGCAAAACGUUUAGUAAAUAUUUCACCUUAUUAUGGAAAGGUGGAUUGGGUUCAUUAUACAGUGGCAGCAUAUAUGUGUUUUGAAAGCUAAGUCAUUGCUUCCAAUGAUUUGAAAAUGGAUUAGGUUAUGUGAAUAACUAAUAAUCCCUUUACCUGUAUUUGUUGAAAAGCAUGUGAGAUGCUCCAUGUGGCUGAAGCUUUUGUUGAGAAGAAACUAUCAUCCUUUGGUUAUUUGUCGAGGUAUGCCUAAUAGUCAAAGGAGAUGGGAAUUUUCUUUUAGUGGAUAAGCAUAUCAAUCUUACCACCAUAUACCACUGCUGCACCUUACAACCCAGCUCUUGAGGAUGCCACUACCGUGCUUGAAAAAAUUGCCAUGCCAAUUGAUGUAAGCAACCGUGAGUUGUGACUGCAUUUUCAACAUCCAAAAUUUGAGAACUGAUUAUUUUCUAUUCUUAAUUGUUUAUUUAUGUUUAUUUUUUCUUGCAACUAGUGUCUUAAAGCUAACAUUUGGGCUGCUUUGUUUUAUGUUGGGCUCCACUUGGAACACACUUUGUAAGCCAAUUUUUACAUUUUCUGACCACAAUUUGUCUUUGCUCUUAUGUAAUGGAUGAACUUAGUUACUUAGUUGCUU